ACUAAUAGCUCGAUUGAUUUACUUUGCUGUGAGAU
RNAcentral lists this ribosomal RNA (35 nucleotides) under uncultured Rickettsia sp. Its description in RNAcentral is "partial 23S ribosomal RNA". The record is from RNAcentral. Lineage: Bacteria; Pseudomonadati; Pseudomonadota; Alphaproteobacteria; Rickettsiales; Rickettsiaceae.